UACGUAGGGGGCAAACGUUGUCCGGAUUUACUGGGUGUAAAGGGUGCUCAGGCGGUCUUGUAAGUUAGAAGUGAAAUCCUAGGGCUCAACUCUGGAACUGCUUUUAAUACUGCAAGGCUUGAAUAUGGAAGAGGAGGGUGGAAUUUCUGGUGUAGCAGUGAAAUGCGUAGAUAUCAGAAAGAACACCAGUGGCGAAGGCGGCCCUCUGGUCCAUUAUUGACGCUAAAGCACGAAAGCGUGGGGAGCAAAC
This 250-nucleotide ribosomal RNA is filed under the name uncultured bacterium. RNAcentral describes it as "partial 16S ribosomal RNA". It matches the Rfam family "Bacterial small subunit ribosomal RNA", at positions 524 to 773 of the family's 1533-position model. The record is from RNAcentral.